UACGUAGGGUGCGAGCGUUAAUCGGAAUUACUGGGCGUAAAGCGUGCGCAGGCGGUUUUGUAAGCCAGGUGUGAAAUCCCCGGGCUCAACCUGGGAAUGGCAUUUGGGACUGCAAGGCUGGAGUUUGGCAGAGGAGACUGGAAUUCCCGGUGUAGCAGUGAAAUGCGUAGAUAUCAGGAGGAAUACCGAUGGCGAAGGCAGGUCUCUGGGCUGACACUGACGCUCAUGCACGAAAGCGUGGGGAGCAAACAGG
This 253-nucleotide ribosomal RNA is filed under the name uncultured bacterium. RNAcentral's name for it is "partial 16S ribosomal RNA". It matches the Rfam family "Bacterial small subunit ribosomal RNA", at positions 524 to 776 of the family's 1533-position model. The record is from RNAcentral.